Penaeus monodon (black tiger shrimp) is the source of this 315-nucleotide long non-coding RNA. RefSeq lists it as uncharacterized. The record is from RefSeq and is a predicted model, not a curated record. The transcript is spliced from 4 exons. NCBI's taxonomy places the organism in Eukaryota, Metazoa, Arthropoda, Malacostraca, Decapoda, Penaeidae.
AGAACAGGCGUAGAGGAGAAUGAAGGAGAAUGAGGAGAGUGAAGAGAAGAGAGAAGAAGAAGAAGAAGAAAGAAGAAAGAGGAAAGCGAAGAAAGAAGAGGAAGAAGAGGAGGAAGACUGAUGAUGAUGAUGGGCUCGCAGCCCACGCCUCAGGAGCGGUGCGAAGCCGAGGAGUACGACUUCGAGGAUGUGCUCGAUAAUUACGUGCUGCCCCUGGAGGGAGCGCUGGGCCCCGCCAGGACCCCCCCGGGCGCGCACCCCCCCCCGGGCGGGGCGCCGUGCGGGCCCCGGCAGCGGAGGGAGCGCACGGCCCAG